AUACAGGGGGUGCGAGCGUUAAUCGGAAUUACUGGGCGUAAAGAGUACGUAGGCGGUUGCUUAAGUCAGAUGUGAAAGCCCCGGGCUCAACCUGGGAACUGCAUUUGAAACUGAGUGACUAGAGUUUAAGAGAGGGGAGUAGAAUUCCGGGUGUAGCGGUGAAAUGCGUAGAGAUCCGGAGGAAUACCAGUGGCGAAGGCGGCUCCCUGGCUUAAAACUGACGCUGAGGUACGAAAGCGUGGGUAGCAAACCGGAUUAGAAACCCUAGUAGUCC
This 274-nucleotide ribosomal RNA is filed under the name uncultured bacterium. RNAcentral's name for it is "partial 16S ribosomal RNA". It matches the Rfam family "Bacterial small subunit ribosomal RNA", at positions 523 to 796 of the family's 1533-position model. The record is from RNAcentral.